GGAAGCGUGGCCGAGUGGUUGAAGGCGCACGACUCGAAAUCGUGUGGGCUAGCAAUAGCCUCGGAGGUUCGAAUCCUCUCGCUUCCGCCA
RNAcentral lists this transfer RNA (90 nucleotides) under Candidatus Saccharimonadota bacterium. Its description in RNAcentral is "tRNA-Ser". It matches the Rfam family "tRNA". From Rfam's summary of the family: Transfer RNA (tRNA) molecules are approximately 80 nucleotides in length. Their secondary structure includes four short double-helical elements and three loops (D, anti-codon, and T loops). Lineage: Bacteria; Candidatus Saccharimonadota. The record is from RNAcentral.